This 409-nucleotide ribosomal RNA is filed under the name Gracixalus carinensis (Karin Hills bushfrog). RNAcentral's name for it is "Kurixalus carinensis (Karin Hills bushfrog) partial 16S ribosomal RNA". It matches the Rfam family "Bacterial large subunit ribosomal RNA", at positions 1822 to 2459 of the family's 2925-position model. Lineage: Eukaryota; Metazoa; Chordata; Amphibia; Anura; Rhacophoridae. The record is from RNAcentral.
CUUGUUUUACAUAAGAGGUCCAGCCUGCCCGGUGACAAAGUUUAACGGCCGCGGUAACCUAACCGCGCGAAGGUAGCAUAAUCACUUGUUCUUUAAAUGGGGGCCAGUAUCAACGGCAUCACGAGGGUUACACUGUCUCCUCCCUCCAAUCAGUGAAACUGAUCUCCCCGUGAAAAAGCGGGGAUACAGAUAUUAGACGAGAAGACCCCAUGGAGCUUUAAACCCAACAGCAACUCAGUACCAUAACCCCCCAUAGCUCACAGAGAAAUGCACGUCGGUUUUAGGUUGGGGUGACCGCGGAGUAAAAACUAACCUCCACGACGAAAAGAACUAAAUCUUUAUCUAAGAGCUACCGCUCUAAGAAUUAGUAUACUAACGAACAAUGACCCAAUAAUUGAUCAACGAAACA